Molecule: ribosomal RNA, 253 nt
Filed under: uncultured bacterium
Lineage: Bacteria
Description: partial 16S ribosomal RNA
Rfam family: Bacterial small subunit ribosomal RNA
Source: RNAcentral
UACGUAGGGAGCAAGCGUUGUCCGGAAUCAUUGGGCGUAAAGCGCGCGUAGGUGGCCUCAUAAGUCCGCUGUGAAAGUCAAAGGCUCAACCUUUGAAAGCCGGUGGAUACUGUGGGGCUAGAGUACGGAAGAGGCGAGUGGAAUUCCUGGUGUAGCGGUGGAAUGCGCAGAUAUCAGGAGGAACACCGGUGGCGAAGGCGGCAUUCUGGACUGUAACUGACACUGAGGAACGAAAGCCAGGGGAGCAAACGGG